CUUGUUUUUGACACAGGAAAUGCUGGUGAAACCUCUAGCUCUGUCAACACUUUCUAAGCAAAUUUAGGCACAUUUCUUCCAUUCUCAUGCUCUGAGGUCUCCCUCUCUCUCAGAUACUCAUUGUAAUCUGGAAGCUAAAAUAAUGCAGACCGUGGGUACUACUGACUUUGUUUUAAAGUGGUACGAAGACUUUAUACCAAGCAAUUCUGAAAAGUGUUCUAAACACCUUGGGAGAAAAUUAUAUAUUCUAAAAUCAUCGACUCGGAAGUCAUUGCUAGAACUCUGCUCCAACUCUGCAAAAUAUGGACCAGGAAUAAUUUACAGGGCACACAAUAUUUGGAUUUCCAACUGGUCUAGAGAGAGAUUAAUGAUAGAAGAGAAAACAAAUGAAGCGAGUAGGUAAAACUGCCAAAACAGAUGCAGUAGCUUGAUGUCGGAUCUUAGUUCCCAAACCAGGCACUGAACCCAGGCUGCAGCAAAGAAAGCACCAAGGCCUAACAACCAGACCACCAGACCACCCAACUCCCAUGAGUUUGAUUAUUUUAGAUACCUCAUAAAAUACGACUGUUCUUUUGGCCUACAGCUGGUAACAUCAACAUGGAUCCAGAUCUGCUCUUUCUAACCUAAUGUUUCUGGAGGAAACUGGAGAACUUGAGAGUCUGAAUGGCUCAUCUCUGAAUGAGACAAGGGAGCCUUGGUGAGGAUUAUGUGCAGAUAAGGCAUGUCUUUUUUUUUUUUUAAGUAUAAGAGAUUUACAAUGUCCUGUCAACUUCUGCUGUAUACGGCAUUUCCAAUACCUUGCAACCUCUCUUGAAUGGAACAGUAGCAUCUCAAGCCUUGAGUGUUAAAUCCAUGUGGGUCCAGAGGAAGACAAAAUAUGGGCUAUUAUUGGCUAAGUAUUUGAGGGCACUCAAUGUAUUUCUUGUUUCACUUCAUCUCCAAAAGAGGACAAGGAAGUGAUAAAAAAAUUUUUUGGUAACAGUGCUGGAGGCUGGAGUUCUUGAUGUGAGAAAUGAAAAGAUUAAAGCAUUAUUUUCAUACCUUUCUCAGUUUAUUUCACCACCUAAUGCAAAUUUUUUUUUUAACUUGCAACAUACCUUUGCUUGAGGUAGUUCUUCCCAACCUCUCCUCACCAUCUAUAAGCCAUCAAGAGUCCAGAUUAGUAUGUGUGCUUAUGAGACAGUGGUCAGGGGUAACAGAUGAGGAUAAGGAAAAUGUGUAAGGGUGCAGACACAGAGCAAAAAGGAAAGCAAAACUGCUUAAGCAAAAUGCAUAAUUUAAAUUUUUGACCUUUAUCUACCAAGAACUAGAAUAAUUUUAGUGAAUAUUAAUUAAAUGUAUUCAUAUAACUCUGGAAAGAAUAGUUACCCCAGGUUUCAGGUAAUCAGAAGUAUUAAGUAUGGGAAUGGAGAUGGUGUAUAAAACCUCAGUGGUAUGCCACAGAAUCAGCCACAGUAUAGUUCUCCUUAACUAACUCCUCAUUCCCAAUGUCUGAUACCCAUGGUUGAUGAAUCUUGCACUGAUGUGCCUUUCCAGUGCCUCCUAAUAUUCUAACUCUCCUGGAUGAGUCAAAAACUUUUUAAGAGUUGUAUACGCAUUCUCCAACCUAUUUAAACUAGCCAUGU
Phacochoerus africanus (Common warthog) is the source of this 1625-nucleotide long non-coding RNA. RefSeq lists it as uncharacterized. NCBI's taxonomy places the organism in Eukaryota, Metazoa, Chordata, Mammalia, Artiodactyla, Suidae. The record is from RefSeq and is a predicted model, not a curated record. The transcript has 5 exons.